RNAcentral lists this ribosomal RNA (327 nucleotides) under Triticum aestivum (bread wheat). Its description in RNAcentral is "partial small subunit ribosomal RNA". Lineage: Eukaryota; Viridiplantae; Streptophyta; Magnoliopsida; Poales; Poaceae. The record is from RNAcentral.
AUGAGUGUGCAGCCAGGCUAUUGGGUUUGGAGGGUUGAUUCAACUUAUAGAAGGGGCCGUAUGCACCAAAGAGUAGUAGAGAUGGAGAUGCUCGUGGGGUCUGCGAAGCUAUGGAGGCAGGUUGCUUCCAAAGUAGUUUCAAAGACUUCAACAUAUCCAAACAAGUGGAAUGUUGCAUAUGCUACUAUUCGGUGCACUGAUCCAGAAACUAGGGCUGGUGAUAUUGAGUUAGGUACCGACUUUGCAUGUGUGUGCAUAGAUGAAACUAUUCUGGAUAAUGAGGUGUUGGGAAAGUUGAAGUUUCUGAUUGGUGAUGCUUUUUCUUGA